This 747-nucleotide ribosomal RNA is filed under the name uncultured Moryella sp. Its description in RNAcentral is "bacterial SSU rRNA". It matches the Rfam family "Bacterial small subunit ribosomal RNA", at positions 28 to 776 of the family's 1533-position model. Lineage: Bacteria; Bacillati; Bacillota; Clostridia; Lachnospirales; Lachnospiraceae. The record is from RNAcentral.
GAUGAACGCUGGCGGCGUGCUUAACACAUGCAAGUCGAACGAGAAGUGAAGACGGAAACCUUCGGGCGGAAGACUUUAUUUCGGGUGGCGGACGGGUGAGUAACGCGUGGGUAACCUGCCUCAUACAGGGGGAUAACAGUUGGAAACGACUGUUAAUACCGCAUAAGACCACAGCACCGCAUGGUGCGGGGGUAAAAACUCCGGUGGUAUGAGAUGGACCCGCGUUCGAUUAGCCAGUUGGCGGGGUAACGGCCCACCAAAGCGACGAUCGAUAGCCGAUCUGAGAGGAUGACCGGCCACAUUGGGACUGAGACACGGCCCAAACUCCUACGGGAGGCAGCAGUGGGGAAUAUUGCACAAUGGGGGAAACCCUGAUGCAGCGACGCCGCGUGAGUGAAGAAGUAUUUCGGUAUGUAAAGCUCUAUCAGCAGGGAAGAAAAUGACGGUACCUGAGUAAGAAGCCCCGGCUAACUACGUGCCAGCAGCCGCGGUAAUACGUAGGGGGCAAGCGUUAUCCGGAUUUACUGGGUGUAAAGGGAGCGCAGACGGCUCUGCAAGUCUGAAGUGAAAGCCCGCGGCUUAACCGCGGGACUGCUUUGGAAACUGCAGGGCUUGAGUAUCGGAGGGGCAGGCGGAAUUCCUAGUGUAGCGGUGAAAUGCGUAGAUAUUAGGAAGAACACCGGUGGCGAAGGCGGCCUGCUGGACGAAAACUGACGUUGAGUCUCGAAGGCGUGGGGAGCAAACAGG